CCCUGGCUGGCUGAGUCGGUAGAGCAUGAGACUUUUGGUCUCGGAGUCGUGAGUUCAAGCCCCAUGUUGGGCG
This 73-nucleotide transfer RNA is filed under the name Felis catus (domestic cat). It matches the Rfam family "tRNA". From Rfam's summary of the family: Transfer RNA (tRNA) molecules are approximately 80 nucleotides in length. Their secondary structure includes four short double-helical elements and three loops (D, anti-codon, and T loops). Further hydrogen bonds mediate the characteristic L-shaped molecular structure. tRNAs have two regions of fundamental functional importance: the anti-codon, which is responsible for specific mRNA codon recognition, and the 3' end, to which the tRNAs corresponding amino acid is attached (by aminoacyl-tRNA synthetases). tRNAs cope with the degeneracy of the genetic code in two manners: having more than one tRNA (with a specific anti-codon) for a particular amino acid; and 'wobble' base-pairing, i.e. permitting non-standard base-pairing at the 3rd anti-codon position. Lineage: Eukaryota; Metazoa; Chordata; Mammalia; Carnivora; Felidae. The record is from Rfam by way of RNAcentral.